This 23498-nucleotide long non-coding RNA is filed under the name Glycine max (soybean). RNAcentral's name for it is "long non-coding RNA (GMAX_LNC001402)". Lineage: Eukaryota; Viridiplantae; Streptophyta; Magnoliopsida; Fabales; Fabaceae. The record is from RNAcentral.
AUCCAAGUUCAAAGAUGAAGAUGAUCCACGUUCUUUUCCUCUUUGCUCUUGUCUCGUUCACUUCCCAUGCUUCUGUCAAUGAUUUCUGUGUAGCAGACCUAAAAGGUCCAGAUAGCCCUUCAGGCUAUCAGUGCAAGCCACCUAACACAGUCACAGUGGAUGACUUUGUGUUCUCUGGCUUUGUAGCUGGAAACACCACAAACACUUUCAAUGCUGCAUUAACCUCCGCAUUUGUUACUGAUUUUCCAGGUGUGAAUGGUCUUGGUGUAUCUGUGGCACGGUUAGACAUAGCCAAAGGUGGAUCAAUCCCAAUGCACACACACCCUGCUGCCACUGAACUUCUAAUAAUGGUGGAAGGUCAAAUCACUGCUGGUUUUAUGACCCCAACUGCACUUUAUACCAAGACACUGAAACCUGGAGAUAUUAUGGUUUUUCCACAAGGACAGUUGCAUUUUCAGGUUAAUUCUGGAAACGGAAAAGCCACUGCUUUUCUGGCAUUCAGUAGUGCAAACCCUGGAGCACAACUACUUGACCUUCUGUUAUUUGGCAACACCUUGCCUUCUGACUUGGUUGCACAGACUACCUUCCUUGAUGUUGCACAAGUCAAGAAGGUUAAGGCUCGUUUUGGUGGCAGAGGCUAGGGUUUCUUAUGAAUCAACUCAUACCUAGUGUUUGUUUUAGUGAUAAUCGUCAGCAAUUAAUAAACUUGUGCAUUUGGGUGUGUUUUGCUUUCAUUUUAAGUUUGAUUCCAAACUUAUGAUUUGAGGGUUUGAAGUUUGACGAUGUAUAAAUAAAAAUUUUAGAGUUUAGUUUGAGUGCAUCAUUGAUUUCAAGAAAGUAAUUAAGAAAGAAAUCAAGAUGUUCACUUGAUUUCUUUUAUUAUAAUAAAAAUAAUAAUAUUUCAAACAAGAUAUUAAUAAAAAGUUUAAUACCUUGUUGUGUUUAUCCUUAAUUUUUUUAAUAAAUAUGAGUUACUAAUUAGAAUCAUUAGAUUAAAAGAAAACAAAUGAUAUAAAUGCAGGACUGGUAACUUCUUUAAUCUCUUAGAGCAACUUAAUCUCUUCUUUAAUAACAUAUCUAAAGUAUACAUACUAUGGCAGCGCUCUUGUUAUCAUUUAAAAUUUCCCCACUAUUAAUUAAUAAUGUCGUAUCGUCCACCUUAUUUUACGUUCUAGAUCUAUAUUUGGUUUAAAGAGAGGAGGAGAAGGAAAGAGGGGGAGAAAUUUUGAUUACACAUUUUGUUUUGUUAAGAGAAGAACAAAUGAAAGAUUUUAAUAGGAGGAAAAAUGAUCAUUUUCUUGUUGGGUUCAUAAGUGGAGAAGGGAUUAUAAAAAUUAAUUUACUUGUAUAUUUAUAUAAUUUUACAUUUCAACACAUAAGAGAGGGAUAUUUUAAUUAAUGCACUUCAGAUGUUUUAAAUCUUUUUUCUUUUUUCUCCUAAAAAUUAAACCAAAUAAUAAAAUUUUAUAAAAAUAUAUCCUUACCAUUCAUUUUUCUCCAUUUUCUUUCAACCAAGCAAAAAAAGAGAAAAAAAUAAUAAAUAUAAUAUAUAAUGUGACUAUGAGUUGACCCGGUCAAUGUCAAAACAACUGAAAUUUAGUAAUAUGUUUUAGAAUAUUCUUAUUUUGGUAAUUACUUUCUAAUAGUACCUCUACUUUGGUCAAUCUGCAGCCUUUAAUACAAUUACUUCUUACCUUUAAAUUUUUAGAUUCUCUUCCCGGUAACUAUUAAUGAAUAAAAAUAUUCAAACUACCCUUUUCAUCCUUCUCUUUUUUUACUUCCUAUUUUAAAAGUAAUAAAUAUAAAACGUAUUAAAUAAUAACAUAUUCAAACACACUAAUACCUUGUUUUACUUAUUUUAGGGUGGAUUCAGAAGGAAACAAGGGAGAGAAAAAAAUAAAAAAAGGAUAAUAUAAAUGUGAUAAAUGAUGUAACUGGUGAAUUGAUCCGGUCAAUGGUAAAAAUUAUCAAAAUUUUUAUAUAUAAUAUAUCACAUUUUAGUGAUUAAAUUCUAAAAGUGUCAUGUUUUGGUCAAUGAUUCCUUAAUGGAAUUACUUAAAGGACUUAUAUUAAAAUUUUCAAAUCUUUUGUUUUCGGUUUGUAAGAAUGACUAUAAACAUUUAGACAGUGAUCAUAUUGGAUACGAUGAUAUAUGAUAUCUUGUUUAAUUGUUUAAAAGCGGUAUGUUGUCUUAACAUAUGUUUACUGUUAUUUUUUAUUAUUUAGGUUCCAAAUUAAUAACAAAUUAUUAUUUACUUUUUGUUUUAUUAAUGAUGCGGGAACCUUACUUUACUGAAGAACAGAGUUUUGUUUAGGAGGCAUGGUGAAAAUUUCUAAAUUCUGUCAGUAACCUAAGUUGUAUUAGAAUUUUAUCUUCCAUAAGCUUGGCCUAUUGUUAGAGCUUGUGCUUGUAUAUCAGUUAGUUUGAUAGUAACACUGAUGAUCUCUUAAACAUCUGACAGGAAUUUGAAUGCUUGAAUUUAAAUUGUGUAGGAAGUGGUUUGUUGUCAUUUGAAUGCUUGAAUUACACUGUCUUCUGUAAAGUGUUUUUUCUAAAUAUAUUUUUUUAUCCAUGAUAGUCCAUUUAAUUUUUUUUACUGAAUCUGGAGAACAUGUCAGCCAUGCCAUUUUGAUAUGUUCAAUUGUCCAUUAAUUUCUGUCUGCUUUUUCUUCGAUUAUUGCUAUUUUUUAUUCCCAUGAUGGAGUUCUGGUUAUUCAAUUCAUAUUUCUGGCCUUCGUUUGGAUUUGACUAUUACAUGUUUAGAUAUGCUUAUUUUAGGGGCUCGAUUUAUUUUGGUCAUGAAGCUUUCUACUAAACCAUGUGAUGGCAUGAUGUGCACCUAAUUUCUUAGUGGAGUCCUUAUUUUACUCUUGACUGAUGCAUUUACCAGUUUGUCUUUAUUUUUUAUUUCAAAUUAGGUAUAUAGAAAGUAGAAGAAUAGGAGUAUCUUAGAAACAAUAAAAGAAAUUCCUAUUUGUGUUACAGACUUUUGAAUUUAAGUUGCCGAUAACUGAUUAAACUUUUGAAAACGUGCAAUUUAUAUUGAUUUAUACUUGAGAUAUCUCAGGCAAGUGUAUUUAUCUGAAAUGCCAAUGGUUGUGAUUUGUGAAUCUUUGCUUAAUUUCAUAGGAGCAUUGUUUGGGCGUUAUUAUGACAAGGAUUCAAAGGUGUAAACCCAAUUAUCAGCUAUUUGUUUGAUUGUUUGUGUAACCUACGGUCAUCAUCCAAGGGAGCAUCAUUUAUUUUGUAAGACAUGCAUGCUUUCUAUGUUAAUUUAUAAGUUUGUUUAAUUUUUUUUAUGAUUACGUAAAUUUAUUAUUUAAUAUAUCAUAUAGUAUUAAAAAUACAUUUACCAAUUCGAUGAUGAUUCAUCUCAAGAAUUUAAUGAGAUUUCAAAACAUAGAGAUAUAUAUGGAAAAUUAAAGUAAUUCCCACUGCUAGAGAGAUAUAUAUAUUUGCUAAUAAUAUAUACCGAAAAUUAAAGUAAGACUAAGAUAUUCUGUUUAUUUCUUUCUUUGUAGUUAGAUAGAUAUAAAAUAAUAAAUUAAAAAUGUAUGAAUUGUAUUGUUUUAUAGUGUGAUAAAAGGAGUUUCAAUAACUUGUAUUAAAUAUUAACCAAUAACCAGUAGUAGUACUUGUAAUUAAAACAAUAGUAAUAAUACAAGAAAAUCAAAUAAUUGGAUUAGGAUGUACUACAAAUGAGAAAAUAAUUUAUGCACUUUUAACUUGGCUUAUUUAUUUUAUACUCAUAAAUUGCUUGUUCGAUCAGGAUGUAACAAAUUACUAUUGUUGGCAUUUAAUUCAAGGAAAAUAACAUGAGAAAAUAUUUAAUAUUUUUUAUAAUUUUUCAUUAAUUUUAGGGUAUGAGAUGAUACCCAGUAAUGCAUACUAAAAAAAGUAAUCACUCAAAUUCAACGUUUGCAUUAUAGAUGUUCUUCUUUUUAAUAUUUUAAAUAAUACUUAUUUUUUCAAUUAUAAAGAUUAAUUUUUUUAAUAUUUUAAAAAUUAAAUAAAAAUUUCUAUAUUUUAAAAAUGAAUUCAAUAAAUUUAGAUAUUUUUUUAAAUUAAAAGAUCAUUUCAAAACAAUUAUUUAAAUAUAUAUAUAUAUAUAUAUAUAUAUAUAAUUAUUUUUAAAAUCAUAGUAAAUUCCCUAAAGAUUUUAUUCAACAAGAAAAUUCACAGAAAAUUACCUACGAAUUUUAUUCUGUAAGAAAAUCCACAAGUAACUUUAUGUUGAUAUUAAAAUAACCACCAAGCUUAAUUGACUACCUAGUACCCCUCCUCCAUAACGACAUUCCCCACCAAGAUAUCCUACUACACUACACUAACAGUGAUGAUAGCUUGUCACCGCCAGUGUAAAAAUAGAGUGGCCAGCUACUGUAUGCAAAAUUGCUGCAUGAGAACCACAUAACACUGUCAGAACUCAGAGAAGCCUGAGUAUUGGACGAAAGAGACUUGAAAGGAGGGAUCAGGCCGUAAAAACACAAUUCCUAUCAGGCACGGCAUUAUUGAAGACAACUUUAUUUCUCUUUUUCCAAAGGAAGAAGUUGACAGCACUCCAUAAAAUUUGCCCGCCCACAGAAGAAGUUUUAGAGAAUCCCAUACCUUCAUUUUGCCAAAAAAGAGCCUCAAUGGAUAAGACAUGUUAGAUUUUUUAAUGGAUCUGUAACACUACAACAUGUAGAACCUAAUUAUAAGACCGGAGCCAUACCUUGUUGAAAAGUGCAUGAGCAUUGCCAAGUUUUGGAAGAGCACCACAUUCCCUUUUUGAUUACAUAAGGUCAGAGUUCCAUUCAGGCAAAACUAAUUACAAGAAAUACAUUCAAAUUCAGCUAACUAUAAUGGGUUUAAUAUAUAUACCACUGACCAUAUAUCACUUGGCAUGGCCACGAUAAGCUUUUCUGUUACACUUACUGAGGAUUGAGGACCUGAUGUCCCAAAGGAAUCUGAUACAUGUGGAAUAGAAUCUUGCUUAGUCACAUCCAUUGUCACAAGCCCUACAAUUUCUAUUUCAUCCAAUUGACCAAUGUCGUGGAUGAGUGUGUACAUCAAUGUUAAUGUCUAUUGACAUACUACCCGCACUCCUUGGCCUCUCACGUGCCUGUAUUCUCGUUGGUUCUACUGGUCCUUUGUAAGUGCUCCUACUUCUUGGUGGUUGUCCCCUAUUUUGUACCCAAACCAAAAUGCAUGAUUAACAAAUUAAGUUGCACCACUUUUAGUUUUCAACAGAUAUAUAAUUUGAUUAAGUUGCUAGCUGAGUAACUUUCAUUCAUAAUUUGGCACCUUACUGAUCCACCUUCUGGUUCACUAGGUGGACAUGCCUGCACAGGAAGUUGUUGAGUGUGCAGGCAUCCAUUGCUACUCUUGAAAUCGUUUUUAUAUAUGUCUAUAUGUUUCUGUGUUGAAUGUGCAGGUUGUACAAACCGUAUAUUAUGUUAGGCUUCCCUAACAUAUAUAGCAGCCACCAAUGUUGACUGUUGUUACUAAUGUUGUUCUUUUGCAGUACAUGAAUUGGAUCCCAAAUUUGGUAAUAGUUUAACCUAAGACAGCAGCUGCAAAACUGGUGAUUGGCUUGUGCGUGACACCAAAACUGGUGAAAUGUUGACAAGAGCCUCCAGGUAGAUAUCAGUUUCAAGAAUCAUUUUUUUCUGUUGCCUAUAGACAUGUUUUGAAGAGUAUUUCUGAAUCUCAAUGUUUCACUCUGUUGAUUUGGCACUGCUUUUAAUCUCACGAGGCUAUGUGAAGUUAUCUAUUAUCAUUUUUACUUUAUCUUAAUACACCACUAUUGAAACACAAUUAAUUACAGAUUUAACCAUACAAAAUUUUGUUGAUGACAAUGUUUUAAUCUACCAACAGAAUUUUCGUACAUGCUUACAAAAGAAGGCAACAAGUGGGAUUAGGAAGAUGCAUGAUAUGACCAACACAGAGCAAUGAUGGAAAUUGAUAUCCCUACGUAUAACUACAUCAGACUAGCACAUACACAUACACAUACCAAAUACAUUAUAAGCAAAAACUUAUAGCAUUAAUAAAAAAAAAGCUCAAAUGAUGGUAUAAACUUGGAAGUACCUCUGAUUCCCUUUGCAGUCUGACUUUGGCAACUAAGAAACUAUGAAUACCAACCCAACAGUCAGCCUUCAAAACCUAAAAUUUUUUAGUCAAAAAUGGCAUAUUAGAAUAAAAAAUGCAUUUAUACGAGACAAAAGGGAAAAAAAUUCAACAAAAAACAGGAAAGGAACAGAAUUUGCACACAAAGAAAGGUGCAUGCUGAACAAACAACAAAAGUAUAAUGAUUCAUGUUCAUAUGUUUAACUAAAACUCAUAAAUAGAACUUCUGACAUUUGGACUUAAAUACAGUUUGUAAAAUUUGGGCUGCUCUCUAAUCAGCUGGAAAAAAAAUUUCGUGGGAUUCAGUUACGCCUUAAGUCUAAAUGAUUAUGACCAUGUUUAACUGCAUCUAAUUCUUAUAUAUAGUUGCUUUCAUUAAUUUAAAUUAAUUUGUUUUGGUUUUGUUUAUGUUUCAUAUCAUACCAUUCUGGAGGCAACAUAGGAACAGUACAUGUCAUGCCUAUAUAGACAUGAAACUUGGUACAAGGCUUCAUGGUGUCUUUCAAAAUUGUUAACUAUUAUUUGUUUGUGAUGUCAUUAGUCAAGUUCUGAUCAUAAUCUGGAGUUACUUUGUCACAGCUGAUAAAUGUUUAUAUGGCAAACUACUAGACCGGAGGACAAUUUUGGCCUACAGUGCACAACUACACAAUUUUUUUAUUUGUUUUCAUAAGUGGAGAUCCAUACAUCCUUCACACAAUAGUUUUCAGCCAAGGCAAGCGGGACAGGGAACAACAAUUCUAUGUACGGUUUGACCCAAGUGCAGGUUUCCAUAGUUAGUCUAUCAUGUGGAACCCACAGAGGAUUAUGUAAGUCCUUAUUAUCUACAAAAAUAGUCCAGUAUGUUUCCUUUUUUCUCUAUUCUAUCCUAUGAUCCUUAACAUAGUUUCUCAUACUCUCUUUAAUUUAGAUUCUGAGUUUUUUCUAUAUAAUAUGCUCAGUUAACUACAGUUGCUUCUCUAUAGAGGCAUAUGCUCAGUUUUUGUCAAUAAGAACUGCCCAUUAUGUCGUGAUUGGGGAGAUCUUGUUUCAUUCUCUUAGUUUUGGUACUGUUGGGGGCUUCAAGUACAGCUGAGUGCACAAGAGACAUAAGGGACUUCCAAAGCUUGUUUGGAAGCCAAUUACCAAAAGGGUCAGUGCCACCAUCUGGACCCUCUUCAUGUCAGAACAACCUUAGCCCUUACAAAUACAGCAAACCUUCAUUUCCAAAUUAUUACUAUAAUUUUUGUCCUUAAUAGCACUUGUCAAGGAUAGAAGCAUGCAUAAGAAAUAUAUGAUAUAUCUAGCUAAUUGUAACAUGAGUAGAUUGCAUAAUUCAACUUAAUCAUAUAUUUAAUUGAUUUCAGUUGUAAACAUUUUUUUAAGUGAUUAAUAAUGCACAACCUUAAGCAGUUAAGUUACAAAAACUAAAUAACCUGGCUUGCAUUUGGAAUAUACCUUGUCAAUCCACUGUCAGAAAGAUGAGGAUUCAAAUCUGUAUGAACCAAUAUGUAGGCUGACUUUAUAUUCUUAUGAAGAAAAGAUGAUGAACAAAGUUCAUGUAGGUACCUAGGAGAAAAACAAGUAGAGUUAGCUUCUUCAUUCUCAGGGCAAAAAUUUACAUUGAUGCUUGAAGUCCAAAAAUUUCACAUAACAACUUCAGCUUUAACAAUAACUAAUUGUAGUCAAGAUAUUAGAGUCUAUAUAAGCAAGUGGACAAUAGUUUCAUACUAGCUGCCACUAUUCUUAUAAUUAAAAGUUCAAUUGUAUCCCAAAGCUGAGUGGUGUGUGACAAUUGUCACACUUUAAGCCCUAAAAGCCUCCUAUGCAACAGGACAUGUUAAUAUUAAACCAUGCAAAGUGGCACUCUCACAAUGCAGCUCCAACCAUGUUCUUCAGUUCCUUCGCUACUUGGACCAGUUUGGGAAGACCAAACUGCACUCACAAGGGUGUUUGUUCUUUGGGCAAGCUGAGCCACUAAAGUGCACUCACAGUGCAGCUCCAACCAUGUUUAUGUCUUUUGUGCCUAUAUUAUAUAAUAUAAUAUAUAUUUUGCCUAUAUAUAGUUUUCUUUUCCGCAUAAUAUCUUGCUUCUAAUUUAGUGUUAUUGGUAAUCCCUUUUUGUGGCUUCCACAAAUAAAUCAACAAAUACCAGUCCAAUGGAUCAGAAUUCACUUAUAUAUAUGCAAAGAAUGUGAAUUUAUAUAUCAUUAUUAAUGUAAACAUUUUAUUGGUGAAUAUUAUCAACCUUAUUUGAAUCUUCAUGUCUGUUCUGAUAUUGUAAAUCUUUAUAUAUAAAAUGACUUCAACUUUUAUACAGACAAAAACAAAAAGAAUGAACAAAAAACAACAACAAUGCCUCUACCAAAAUCCUUGGUCCAAAAUAGGAAUGCCUCUACCAACUAUGUUGCUGAAUACAAUAAUUAUGUAUAUUAUUACAAUUUCCUUAAUGCAUAUGCUUCAGGUCGUUACAAAAUGAUUAGGCUACCUCUAUCUAUAAACACCCAAGGGAUUCAUGGAAUUGGUACCUCAUCACUACUUUGAACCAUUUGUAUAUAAUAUUACUAACAAAUUUAUGAAUGGCUUUUCUUCGAUCCACCUUCGUGACCUCAAUGGAUCUUUCAUAAAUGCUAGCCAUAGUCUGUGCAACUUACUAUUAUGGAUAUGGUCCAACACCAAAGCUUCAGACCCCCAAACCCAAAACAGAUUACAAAUUUGACAAACCACACCCCAGAAUACCCAGAUUACUAUGUAGUGCCCAAACCAAAAGGAAACGAUGAACUACAUCUGCUUCCCACAAUCAUUGGUGUCCAAGGAAUUGAAAAUAGAAGCUACCCUAACACAGAUAUCCUUUUUUUGUUAAACCUUCAAACUUCUAGCCUAAAAAACCCAGAGCCUAAAAAUACGUACAAAAUUCUGCCAAAAAUGUUAUACAAUGCUCCAUGCUCACACAAAAUAAUGAGCACAUUACUAGAUGCAACAUUAUUCACCAAAGACCACAAACAAGAUUCAACUACAGAGUAUUUCUUUCAAUACAUUGGCAGCAGACACCAUAGCAGUCACAAACGUUGGAGUACAAAGAAAUGUACCUCUAUGGCGAUACCCACGCACCGAGUAGCGACGAAUGAGGCAGGAGACUUCUCUAGGUCACAAAACAACCUUCCCAACACGAGCGAGGGUAGUAAGAAGGAAUGCUUAACGCAGUACUCGGGAGGGGAGUAAGAAGAGACGAUGGUAAAUGGGAGAUAGGUACGACCUAGGGUGCGCGCGUUAAGAAAACAACGACGGUCUGGUGCAGAAGACCGUCUUCAUUUUUCCCAAAAAUAAUUAUGAGAUUGCCACUAAGAACCGAUUUACGAUCGGUCCAUAUAACCGUCCUUAGAAUGACAGAGUCAUACAAAACUUAUCCAUGCAAAUAAUUACAAAAAAUAUCACUGUGUAUAUGUUCCUCAAGAAUCAUCUUAAAAUUAGCAUCAUAAAUCAGCUUUUUUUACUAGUGGAUCUCAAAAAUUUUAACGACUGAAUUAGAAUAUUUCAAUCACUAAACACUACUUCUUUUUAGUGGAUUCUACAGAUUUUGCAUUUAGUACUUAAUAAUUUUUUAUUUAUUUUUAAUAUCUGAAAAAUUUACAAAUUUUGCAUUUAUCCUUGAAAUGUAUUUUUUGGUAUUUCACCUCUAUCAUUACAUUGGCUCUAUUAAGUUGUUCCUAAUAUAUUUUUUCUUUUAGUCUAUUUUUUUUCCUGAAAUUAUCGGUAUGUCUUUUUCAUUAGAAGUUAACGUCUCAAGUUAACAAAGUCAAUAUAAUGAUAGGGAUUAAAUAUAAAAUAAAUAAAUACAAAUUUAAAAUAACAAUUAUGAUUGAUGUAUAAAAAAAUUUACAAAUAUAUAUGAGAAAAUUUGUUUUAAAUAUAAUAUUUUGAUUUUUUUUUCUACACUAUUUUUCCUUAUAUUUUUUUUACAUUAUAUUUUUUUAUAACUACAGUUAUCAUAUCUUUUUUUUUUUCUUUUAACUUUUCUCCUGUCUUUCUUUUAUUCUUUAUCAUCUUUUUACCCAAAUAGCAUCUAUUAAGAUGUGUGAAAAAAGGAUUUAAAUUAAUAUCUUUUUAUUCAUUUAAAUUCGGAUAAUUUUUUUAUAUUCCAAACUAAAAAGUAUUUUUAGUCUCAUACUUUGGAAAUAAUUAUUUUUUAGUCCCUAAUUUGUGAUCAUUGUAGUCCCUGAUAAGGAUUAAAUGAAUUAUUUUCAAAUUAUGAGACUAGAAAAUCACUUUUAAAUUUGAAAGACAAAAUAAAUUUGGCAAUUUAAAGAAAGAAAAAGAUAUUUAAGUUCAAAAAAAAAACUUUAGUUCUAGAUCAAUUCUUGUAAAGAGAAAGCAUUGGUAAUUAAAUUAAAUGUUGUCAUUAUCUAGUUAGGCCUUACAGAGUUGAUAUAUAGUCUCAUGAAUAUUGAUAUUGAUUUGCCAAACUAUGACAGCAUUAAUUAAUUUGGCAUGCAUCAUAAAGAGUAAGUAUUAAUUAAUUUAAAGCUCCAAAAAUAUUUAAAGCAUCGAAUUAACUUUAAGUUAGACAUUAAAUUAGUAGUUAAUAAUAUAAAAUUAAAUAUUAAUGUAAGGACUAAAAAAAUUAUAUCCUAAGUAAGAAGCCAGAGAGCUAAUUUAGAAAAUGAUGGGUAUGAUAAUAUCUUGUCUAUAUAUUUUAUAUCUAUUACAUAAUAUAUAUAUAUAUAUAUAUAUAUAUAUAUAUAUAUAUAUAUAUAUAUAUAUAUAUAUAUAUAUAUAUUAUUUAUGUUCGAUAUAAUUUUUUAUAUAUCUUCACACAAAAUUUUGACAUAUAAAAUUAAAUUAAACAUAUAAUAUUGAUUAAAAUAUUAAAAAAUAAAUUAAUAUUAUUCAAAUAUUUUUUUAAAUGUGUAAUAAGAAUAAUAUUAAAAAUAAUUAAAUUUAUAAAUAUUACAUUUUAUAAAAAAAAGAAACUAAUAUCAAUUAUUUAAGCUUGUUGUCUCAACUUUCAAGUCUCCUCAAGAAAUAGGUGGAACAACUAGUUAGCUCUAAUGAAAAACGUUCUCAAUCUCUCAUGUUUUUAUGAAAAGGCAAUGCUUGUUUAGAUAGCCAGUUUUGCUUCCCAUGGUUUUGCUAUUGACAUUUUGUUUGGUGGAAUUUCAUUCCUACCUUUAUUUCAAUAGAAAUAGAAUAGGUAUUCCUAACUACAAGUUUUCAUAGUUAUUUCAAUAUAAUACCUAACUGUGUGUGUGAUUAUAAAAAAAUGUUAAAAUUAUUACACAAAUAUGUGUGUAAUUAUAAUAAAAUGUUAAUUAAUAUUGUUAGACAAAUGUGUAUCAUAGAUGACUUUUUUUAUGUGGGAGCAACAGAAAUAGACAUUUACUAUUAGAUCUUAUCAUCAACGAUCAAGAUUAAAAAAAUAAAACCAUCAAAAUCAUUGAACACAUUGAUCAACUAACACUCACAUUUAUUCUAACUUAACUAAUUAUCUUCGGUUCAAAUGAUAUAUUUAUACUAAAUAUAUGAGAAAAGUUUUGUUACUCAUAAUAAUCUUACUUCUUUUGAAUAUGAUUAUUUCUCCAAUAUAUACAUGUGAUAGUAUAAAAAAAAUAAAAAUAAUUAUUUUUAAAAAAAUUGUCUAGGUAACCCAAACUAAAAUUGGGAUUAAACAAUCUUAUCCUAGAUGACCCAAUAAAAUUAAAACAACUGUAUUAAAAGUUGGAUUCACAUGUUUAUAUUUUUUAUACACAAAAUUUUGACUGGUUAUAUAUUCUUCUCAUUAUCUUCUACCAGUUUUAAAUUAUGUCCACUUUUUAGAUUUUAGAUUUUUUUUUCUGCAAUUGUUUCUAUACCUUCUCUUACAAGAAAAUGAUGAGAUUUAAUUUUCUUCAUCCAAUAUUGCAUCCAUUAGAGAAACUCCUUUCCAAACACAUUUAUUUAUUUAAAAGGCAAAAGCAACAUUAUUAAUAAACCAAUACCACAAGAGGUGCUUGACUUAGAAAAAAAACACUAUUAUACACAGUAUAGAAAAAGAUGUUCAGCAAACAUGGUGCCUUGACAACAAUAAAAGCACAGCCUGGUUUAUGUUAUUACUAUGCACACCACAUUUGUAAUCUGAUCAAUCGGGAUACCACGUCUAUAAUCCUAAUUGGGAUUCCACAUCGUAGGGUUGUUUCAAAAAAAACUUGAAAGCAAAGAGGAAAAAAGGAUCGAAGAGGAUGAAUGUUUUUUUAUCAACCAAAUUAAAAUUUUAUUCACAAAGGUACCAGUGGUUUAGGGUUUAAAAUUAGUGGUACCAGUAAAACAAAAAAAAAAAAAAGGAACAAACCAAAGCGUGCCUCCAAGUCACCGAAAGAGAAAGAAAAACAAUAUUUGCUAUCUCAAUCAUAAUUCAGCACACAAAACCUAAAACAUAAAUAACCUCCAAUCAAAAUCGAGAACCCCUUCCCAGUAAAAGCCCUUAAUCAGAAUCUUAGUUUAAUUGUUUAUGUAUCCCUUCACAAUGAAUCUUGUCGCCAACACUCCGCGAAAAAAACGACGAACGUGGUGGUGAAAGGGUGAAAUUCGGUGGUGACAAAGAUGUACGCGUGUUUGGGAAUGCAAGAGCGCAAUUUCAGAUUAAAUGUAAUUUGUAAAAAAUAAUAAGAAGAAUAUAAAAUUAGUCAAAGAUUUGUAUCAAAAGAAUUUAAAAAAUGAACCCAAUCCAUAACACACUUGUUCUAAUUUUAUUGGAUCAUUUUGGAUUGGGUUAUGUAACCCCAUUUCUACUUAGGUAUGUUAGAUCACCCCUAAAAAAUCACAUAAUUUUUUAAAGUGAUCAUAUUACUUUCUAAGUGGUAUCUUUUUAUACAUAAAAAAGUGGUAUCUUUUUAAGUGAUUAAAAAAAUGUGACUAUCCAUCUAUGAAUAUAUAGAACAAAUUUAUAUCAUCACUUGAAGUAGUAUUGUCUAAGAGUUUAUUAUACUCUUGUUCUAUUUUACGCAACUCUUAUAUUAUAUCUGAUUUUGUUUUACCAUAUCUUUGCCACCAAACGAACCUUAAAAGACUAAAUUGAAAUUGAAAACAUUUUAAAAGCUAACAUAAUUUCUCACUGUAUGUUUGAAUGACCAAUAGUAGCCUUCCUAAUAUAUUAUUGAAAACAAUCCAAACAAAUCGCAUGCCUUCUUAUCUUGUCCUUUUUUAUUGUUUUUCUAAAAAUAACUAAUGUAGAAUUUCUUUAAUAAAAAAUAUAAAAUUUCUUAAAUAAAAUGGUAACGUUUCUUAAAUUAAUACAAACGAGCAAACGUGAAAGAGACGGUAGUCUCAGCUUUUCUAAGGUUUUGAUAUAGUUAUAUUUUUUUGGACCAAUGGUUGAAUAAGAUAGUUACACACCAACAAGAGAGAGGAAGAGUGAGAGAGCUUCAUCCAACUACGUACGGGCAUUGGAACUCUUUUUCUUGCUAUCUUAAUUACAAUGUUAAUCUCCCUCCUAAUUGCGUUAAUUUGAAGGACUUGCAUAUAUAGUUGCAUUAAUUUAUACCUAACUCAAGAUCAUAUCUUACCCUAUAAAUAGCUAGCCAAUGCAUCGUUCCCUUAUGCCAAAUCCUUUUCAUUCAAGAUGAAGAUGAUUCGCAUUCUUUUCAUCUUUGCUCUUCUAUCCUUCACUUCCCAUGCUUCUAAUGUCAAUGACUUCUGUGUGGCAGACCUGAAGGGUCCAGAUAGCCCUACUGGCUAUCACUGCAAGCCACCUAAAACAGUAACAUCACAUGACUUUGUGUUCCAUUUAGGCCCUGGAAACACUUCAAACGUGUUCAAGUCCGCAAUAACCUCUGCAUUUGUCAAAGAUUUUCCUGCUGUCAACGGUCUUAGCCUUUCUGUAGCACGCAUUGACAUAGCUCAAGGGUGGAGUGGUUCCAAUGCACACACAUCCUGGUGCCAAUGAAAUAGUGAUGAUGGUGGCAGGUGAAAUCAACGCUGGGCUUUAUAACAACCGAUGCAGUUUAUCAGAACACACUGAAACCAGGAGAUGUUAUNNNNNNNNNNNNNNNNNNNNNNNNNNNNNNNNNNNNNNNNNNNNNNNNNNNNNNNNNNNNNNNNNNNNNNNNNNNNNNNNNNNNNNNNNNNNNNNNNNNNAUUUUGUCAUUAACUCUCAUCUGUCAUAGUAGUCUACGUAGCAUAAGGGAUAAAUUUAUUAUUGAAAUGAGUACUAAUGUGAAUUGUCAACAUAUGAACAUAUUUGUCAUAAUUUUUUUUUUGACUUUUUGUCUUUCCACUCCUAACAUAUGCGUCCCUGAAGAUAAAAUACAAACUUUAAUUCUUGAAAGUAUAAAAAGUACAACAAAUAUAUUUGGACAUUAAUAAUAGAUUGUGACUAAUUAUUAUUAUUAUUCGUUUAUAAUUUAGUGCUCCUAUUCGUUUAGUAUUUAUGCAAUAUAUUUUUUAAAUUUUUUUUAUAUAUAUUUUUAUUAUUUUGAUUUCUUUAUCAAACCUUAAUCUUUGUUGUUAAUUUUUUUUAUCUUAUAUCUUAUAAUUUUAUCAAAUUUUUACUAAAUUUCUCAUUUUUAAUCUUUAAAAUUAUUUAAUAUCUCAAUUUUAACUUAAGUACCCUUAUAUUUAGAUUGAAAAUAAUAUGUUGAGAGUUUUGAGUAGAAAAAAUACAACCGGUCACGAGACUAAAUUUAUUUAUUUAUUUUUAAAAAAAGAAUUUAAUCAACUAUUCUUUUUUUUAAAAAAAAGUCUCACAAAAUUUAAUCAAUUGAGUUACCAUUUAAAAAAAUGAAAGUCUUUUAUUUCUUAAAAUUUUUUGUUUCUUCAAUUAAUUAUUAAUUUUUAUUACGUACUCUUCCACGGUAUGUUAAUCUCAUUAGUAAUAAACCUCUGUACUAGUUUUUUUUUUUGAAGUUAAUCUCAUUAGUUUGAGCAUUAUUGUAUUUUUUAUUUAAAUUUAUUUGGAUUCUUUAUUUGUUAGUAACUGUUUUCAUUUCACUUAUAUUAUGUAUAAUAAAAGUUGUCUCGAGUGAAAGCACAUAAGAUUUAUCCAAAUGAUUCUUUCAUAUUUGAGAUAUAUAUAUACAUUAUAUUGAUUAAGGAAAAAGACUUCUAAUUCCACUUUAGCUCUAUCUAGUUUAAAUUUUGUGAGACUUCUUUUAAAAAAAAAUUGAUUAAAUUCUUUUUUUAAAAUAAAUAAAUAAAUAAAUUUGGUCACGUGACUGAUUGUGUUUUUUCUACUUAAAACACUCAACAUAUUAUUUUCAAUCUAAAUAUAAGGGUACUUAAGUUGGAAUUGAGAUAUGGAAUAAUUUUAAAGAUUAAAAGUGAGAAAUUUAGUAAAAAUUUGAUAAAAUUAUAAGAUAUAAGAUAAAAAAAAUUUAACAGUAAAGAUUAAGGUUUGAUAAGGAAAUUAAAAUAAUAAAUAUAUAUAUAUAUAUAUAUAUAUAUUAAAAGGUAAUUUAAAAAAUAUAUUGCAUAAGUACUAAACGAAUAAGAAUAGUAAAUUACAAACACAUAAUAAUAAUAAUAAUAAUAAUAAUAAUAAUAAUAAUAAUUAGUUAUAAUCUAUUAUUAACGCUCGAUCGAUAUAUUUGUUUUACUUUUUAUAUUUUUGAUGACUAAAUUUUAUAUUUCCAUCCUUCAGGACACAUUUGUCAACAGAGUAGGAAGACGAAAAAUAAAAAAAAAAUAUUAUGACAAAUAUGUCACUAUGCUAACAAUCCACCUUAGCAAUCACUUUAGUGACAAAUAUGUCACUCCAUGUCAGGUUACUUUAUUGACUGUGACAGAUGAAAGUUAAUAAUGUGAUAUACUUAUCGUACUUUUAAAUUUUACAUUUAGGAACACAUUUGUCAAUAAAGUAUAUGUUAAGGGACAAAAGUUGCUAUUUACCUUGAAAUUUACUAUAAGAUAAGAUUCAAAUAUAUUUUUAAUUCUUAACAAAUUUUAAGAUUUUGUAUUUGAAUUUAAAUAUAUUUUUUAAUUUUUGUAUAGAGCUUGCUAUCUCUUUGACUCCUUCCUCAAACUUAUUCUUGUUUGUCCCCAAACAAGUUACCCAAACGCACAACCCCAACAUUAGUAAAAAAAAGUAUUUCCGUGUAUUUAAACAUGAUUAUUAAAAAAAAAUUGUUUUCAUUCAAACAACGGUGACAUUUUUAUUGAUAUUUGUAAAAAGUGCUUGGAGAUUUCUGGGGAUUGAUCUUCUUUGCAAAAAGUGCUUGGAUUUGAAAUUCUUGACGUGUCAUGUCUCAAGGUUUGUUUUGUUGCUUUGUCUCUCAUAAAAGAUUUGUAUAUCUUUGCUGAUUGCUGAUUAACUUUCUCUCUCACAAGGUUAGUGACAUCUUAGAUUCUGCACAACUGAUCUGCGAGCAGGUAAGUUUGUUGAAACUCACUGGUAUUGAAUAACUUUGAUGAUCUUUCCAGGUGAAGAUACUACUUUCAACUGACUGAUAUUCUAUACUACAAAUAUGAAUGAGCUCCUAGUCUCCUUCAGCUGCUGUAGUGCUAGACAGGCAACUGCAUUUUCAUUUACUAAUUUAUUUAUAUAUGUAUUUCAAGAUGAAAAUUAUUUUUUUUAUUGCAGAAUGAAUUGGCCUCCCGUAGAACAGAUGUAGGGAAUAUAUCUUCUUGCUUCUUGUUUCUUUAACUUAUAAUAAUUUCUAACAUCAUAAUCCAAUGAGAAAUAACAACCUUCUGAAACAGAGCUUUCCUUCAUUUUAAUUUGAUAUCAAAGAUAAAACACAAUUAAUUAAAUUGUUGUCCAACUUAAAAAAAGUUCUAUAAUAAUUCUUUUGAGACAUCAUGUUUCGAAGCUUCAAAUGAUAAACUCAAGCUUGUCGAUGCUAUUGUAAUAUAUCAUUUUCAACGAAUCAAUGUUAACAACAUACCAAACAAUUGCUCAUUCAUUCAUUUUUUUUUAAUACCUAUUAAUUUUUAAAACCCUUUUAUUCAUAAAAAUAGGGGAGCAUGUUUUCUCCUUAAAUCAAGAUGGCUAUGAAAUAUACUCAAGUUUCUGAUUCUGGAUGAAAUUAGUCAUAAUAUUGCAGUUGUACUUCUUAUAACAUGAUAAAAAUCUAUUAUAUAUGAACAUCGCGACAUAUAUCAAAUAUUAUUCACAAUAUUUGCAGUGGAAUUUAAAAAUUCUAUAAAAUUCUUUAUGAAAUUCCAUGUUUCAAAUCUUCAAGUUCAAAUGAUAAUAUAUCAUUUUUAACGAAUCAGUGUAAACAACCAAACAAUUGUGCAUGCUCGUCCAGGCAUAGUCAUUUUGGCAAUACCUAUAAACUUUUAAUACUUAUUUAUUAAUUUAAGAAAAAACCCAGGGGAGCGUUUUUUUUCUCUCCGUAAUUCAAUAUGGAUACUGUAGAAAUAGAUCGAGUCUGUUAAUUAUAUUUGCUUCUACAUGAGCAAUACUCUAAAGUUGUAGUAUUAUUGGAUAUGAAGUGUACACACAAAUUUCGAGUUAGCAUUUCAACAUGUGUAGGAGUUUCUACAUUUCCUUCGAUUGGCUUUUCUCUUGUUAAUUACUAUGUGAAUGGUUAAAUAUCCUAUUAUUGUAGGAUCAAUAUAUGUCUUCAUUUUGCUAACUAAUUAAUUAUGUUGACCAUUCUUUCAUGAUUUAUUGUUUGGACUUUGGACUAAAACCUAUACUAGCAAACUUAUUUGAAUAUGAUUUUACAAUAUCAAUGUUCCUCUCUUCUUUGCCACCUUAGCUGAAAAAUUAAAUUAUAUACUUAACGAAAAUAUGAAAGUGAAAAGAAAGACAAAUACAGGGAAUGAAUAACUUGGGAUCACUUCUUGAACAAAGGACAUUUAUUUACCAACUUUCAUCACUACCACAAGAUGAUAAACAAAGUUAGUGAGGAGGAAAGAAUCCCCCUCCACCAGCCUAAAAACAACAUUAUAUAUAUAUAUAUAUAUAUAUAUAUAUAUAUAAGGCACAAAGUUAUACUUUUCCUCAGGAUAGGUGAUGGUUCUGGGGUUUUGGUCUUGGAGGUUGGCUAAGAAAUUUAUUGUGUAUAUAUCAUCUAUCCCUACAAUUCCUCUUGACCUACUUUAUUUAUAAUAUUUGAUCUUUGUUAUUUAUUUGUUUCUCCUAUCUUUUAGGAAUUUGAGCAUGCAAAAAACCGAGGAUCCAAAAUCUAUGCAGAGGUUCGUGGCUAUGGGAUGUCAGGUAGUUUGUCUAAUUGCAGGAUAUGUAGGAUUUUCUUCUAGCCUUAGUUUUAUAUUUGGUUGACUUAUUUCAUGUGGAUUUUGACUAGGUGAUGCAUAUCAUUUAACUCAACCUCCUAGUGAGGGGAGAGGAGCCAUUUUGGCCAUGACUCGUGCUUUAAGACAGGUAUCCUUUAUCUUCUUGCAAUGAUUUGUAUUUUUCAUGCAUCAUUAGAGGUUUUCUGUUGGCUGAGCUUGCAAGCUUAAGCAUAAGCUUACUACUUCACUUUCCAAUAAAAAUUUAAGGUUAUCGUUGGUUUUAAUUUCAGUCCAUAAGGUAUAAAAUGCGGUAUAAUUAAAAGAAUAAAUGGGAGUUAAAAGGCUCAGAGGGACUAAAAAUGGGUUUUUACAAUAGUAGGCUAUAUGUUCCAAGGUAUAAAAACAAGAAAUUGCCUCUUUUAUUAGAAAACUAAAGAAUGGAGAAAAUUCAAGAGAACGACAUCAAAAUUUAAGCAAAGUAGUACCUCGUGGUUUAGCACUAAAUUUAAGAAACAAAUUUAGUUUAAGAUCGACACUCACAACUGGAUGAGGAUUCUCCAUGUGUUUAGAAAAAAAGUAACCUAUGUACAAGAUGCUUGAAAACAUAUCAAUUAAAUUAUUCAAUUUAUUUCUAUCGAUCCACAAAAGGUUCAAUGCCUCAAAAGUGUAAAUUGCAAAAAUAAAUCAAUUGAUCUCAUAUUUUUCUUUUUGGAUCAAUGGAAAAUAUUUACCUAAACAAUUUUAAAUGAAAGAUCUCAAAUUCAAUUAAUUAAGAAAUUAUUUACAACCUAAAAGACUAUUCAUAUUCAAACUUGUGUUCAAUUUCCUUCUUGUAAAAUUUUCUUGGAUAAAUAGCAAUUAGACAUCGCGAAUAAAAUUAGUUUCUAACAAAAAAAAAUACAACAAAAAUAUAAUUCUAUUACACACUUGUACAACAGAAAUAUGAUUCUAUUGCACUCGUGUUACUCUUGUAUUUUUUUUUCUCACCCCCAUUAAUUAUGGAAUGUGAAUACGUUUUUCUUGUAUUUUCAUCUAUGAAACAAUUGGCAAUACAGCUAAAAAGCACUCACAUAAAUAAUGCUAAUAGCAAAAGUGAAAGUGCCAAUAGCAACCCCUCUAGAUAACAUAUCAACAGGGGACAACUUACCUGGGCUAUCCAAUCUCAAAGACUAAAUCGAAGCUUCAUGAGAAGCACGUAAAGGCUCCAUUGGACUAGGAUGACACAAAUGUAAUCAUUGUAUCACGAAAUAAUUAGUUAAUUAUAAGAUGAUGCUCCCAUUUCGACCAUUACAGAAUCGAAGGAAUUGAAUCUUACGAAAUAAACAAACAACCUCUCCAAGUUUGGAUCCCAAUUAGUUAUAUCGAUAGUAGACACCUUUUUUCUUUUUUAAGGAAAACCUCUCCAACUUCAUUGUUUAAAUGACUUUAUUAAUAAAAGUCAUUGGUUUAAAACUCAAUCUAACACGUUUACAUUGUAGAUUGUGGCAGAUCAAAGUCUUCGUCAUAAUGCAUGCGUCUGCUUAAUGUCAACCCACUACUUAAGUUUGAUUUUUAACGUGUUAAUUCUUAAAUUAAUUAAUGAUUAUUUCAUUAAAAAAUGAGUAAACUCUAUUUUUCUCUUUUUAAUAUUCUUAUAUCAUGAUUUUUCAUACAAAAUAUGAUAUUAUUAAUAUUUGUUGCUGAAGCAAGAUAAUUGAUCUCUACCGUGAAUAUCUGGUCUUCUACAAGAAUAAGAAAGAUCUGCACGCAAAUUCAAAAAAAUGAUAUUUUAAUGUCUCUUUGGACAAAACUAGAAAAAUGAUUAAAUAAUUAUUUAUUAAAUUAUUUAUUUCCUACAUUUGCAGGAAAUGAUAGUUAAAUUAGAAUUUAAGUGUACACUCAAGUGCUGCCGCACGUGUUUCAUAUAUAUCAUUCUCCGACUUCAAAUAAAAUACAAUCAGACAUCGCGAAUAAAAUUAGUUUUUAACAGAAAAAAAUACAAUAAAAACACAAUUUUAUUACACACUUGUACAACAGAAAUAUGAUCCUAUUGCACUCGUUCCGUUGUAUUUUUUUUCUCACCCACAUUAAUUUUGGAAUGUGAAUACGUUUUUCUUGUAUUUUCAUCUAUGAAACAAUUGGCAAUACAACUAAAAAGCACUCACAUAAAUAAUGCUAAUAGCAAAAGUGGAAGUGCCAAUAGCAACCCCUCUAGAUAACAUAUCAACAAGGGACAACUUACCUGGGCUUAUCCAAUCUCAAAGACUAAAUCGAAGCUUCAUGAGAAGCACGUAAGGGCUCCAUUGGACUACGAUGACACAAAUGUAAUCAUUGUAUCACGAAAUAAUUAGUUAAUUAUAAGAGGCAAAUUUCCCCCGAAGGGGUCCUUUUACAAACAAAUUCCCAGAAUGGUGUUGUUUUGAAAGUAUUUCCGGGAUGAUGUCUUUUUUUACGUGGGAGGAAUGCAUGACGCCAUCAGGAAUGGCAAGUCCUCCACGGAUGGUCCACGUGGCAGCGGACUCGCCAGGACUAGUGGCGAUUUCAAGCCAACUGGUCUCGCCAGUCAAACUGGUGAGUUGGUCCCUGCAUGUCUCGCCAGACGCAGUGACGAUAAAGCCAUGGGGUGCGCAGGCUAGGGCCAAAACCGCCAAAAGCAUUGGUUCAGUGUAUUCUGAGUGUGUGACAUCGUUCAGCUUAAAUAGUUGGUUCUUCCUCCUAUGAUUUUUGUGUGCAUUUUAAAAGUUUUCUAAACUUCCAAAUUUGCCUUCUGCAACAGUUAUAAAUUCCUGAGCCUUCAAGCUUUCAGAGUUCAAAGUUCAAAAUCAAAAUAAGUGUGUGCCAUGAAAUUUAAAACAUGAGUUAAAAACACUUACAAGGAAGAGGAGCUACGCACGAGCAAGAAGCAACACAAGGAGGAGCAAAUCUUUUUCACUAACAGAAACCAAACACACACUCAGAAUACACACACUCACAAUCUUUUUUUGAACUGGUACGUGAAGGAGUCAAGGAGAGAUCCAUUUAUAGGAGAAAAUGAACAAUUUUUUUUCAAGCUUCUCGCCAGUCAAACUGGCGAGACCGGCAGAAGCGCUAGCCUGGAGGCAUGUCGCCACUACGUCUAGCGAGACAGGGUGCAACUCCCAGUCAAACUGGCGAGUCCAGCUAGCACGAAAUCGCCGCUGGUACUAGCGAUUUUCCCUCCAUGUGUUGCUGCAUGCUCAAAUCGUCAUUGCUGCUGGCGUUUUCUUUGAAAGUUCACAUAAAAAACAAACCCAUCCCGAAAAUUGUUUAGAAAGAGCCCCAUUUUGAGAAUUACUUUGUAAAAGGACCCCUUCGGGGGAAAUUUGCCAUUAUAAGAUGAUGCUCCCAUUUCGACCAUUACAGAAUCAAAGGAACUGAAUCUUACGAAAUAAACAAACAACCUCUUCAAGUUGGGAUCUCAAUUAGUUAUAUUGAUAGUAGACACCUUUUUUUUAAGGAAAACCUCUCCAACUUCAUUGUUUAAAUGACUUUAUUAAUAAAAGUCAUUGGUUUAAAACUCAAUCUAACACGUUUACAUUGUAGAUUGUGGUAGAUCAAAGUCUUCGUCAUGAUGCAUGCGUCUAGUUAAUGUCAACCCACUACUUAAGUUUGAUUUUUAACUUGUUAAUUCUUAAAUUAAUUAAUGAUCAUUUCAUUAAAAAAAUAUGAGUAAACUCCAUUUUUCUCUUUUUAAUAUUUUUAUAUCCUAAUUUUUCAUACAAGAUCUGAUAUUAUUAAUCCCCGUUACUCAAGCAACAUGAUUGAUCUCUACCGUGAAUAUCUGGUCUUCUACAAGAAUAAGAAAAAUCUACAGUAGAUUUAAAAAAAUGAUAUUUUAAUGUCUCUUUGGACAAAAUUAGAAAAAUGAUUAAAUAAUUAUGUAUUAAAUUAUUUAUUUCCUACAUUUGCAGUAGUUAAAUUAAAAUUUAAGUGUACACUCAAGUGCUGCCGCGCGUGUUUCGAAUAACUUGUGCGUGUAGACAUGUUACAGGGGAAUUCUUCAAAUUGAAUUGCAACCAAUUGCUAUGUUGACAAUGCAAAGUAGUAUAAGGAAAAUAUUAAAUAUACACUUAGUUUUUCUUUUAUCUCACUGUCAACCCACAUUUUUCUUUCAGUUUCUUUCUUCAUCUUCAAUCACAUUUGCAUAUCUAUCCGGUAUAAGGAAAAUAUUAAAACCCACAUUAAAUAAUUACAUAUAUCAAUUAAUCUUUAACUAAUUAAUUAUUACUAGUUUAAAUGUGCACCUGUAUUUUAAAAGUAUAAUAAAAAUAUGAUUUUAUUGUUUUCAUUCUAAUGUCCACUCUCACAUGAAUAUGAUACAGCCACUAGUUAAUUUUGCUUGGUGGUUCACGUUACACGUUAGUCUGAUUCUCAUAUAUAAAAUAAAACAAGAUGUAAUUAGAUAUAGUACGAUCCUAACUCAAGGAUUUAGGGGUACAUGCAGCAAGGCCAUAGGCCAUGUAUCUUCAGCGUGUAAGAAUAGCUUUAUAAAUAGAUAGCCAAUUCCACAUUACCUUCACACCAAAUCCAUUCAUCCAAGUUCCAAGAUGAAGAUGAUUCACUUUCUUUUCCUCUUUGCUCUUGUCUCGUUCACUUCCCAUGCUUCUGUCAAUGAUUUCUGUGUAGCAGACCUAAAAGGUCCAGAUAGCCCUUCAGGCUAUCAGUGCAAGCCACCUAACACAGUCACAGUGGAUGACUUUGUGUUCUCUGGCUUUGUAGCUGGAAACACCACAAACACUUUCAAUGCUGCAUUAACCUCCGCAUUUGUUACUGAUUUUCCAGGUGUGAAUGGUCUUGGUGUAUCUGCGGCACGGUUAGACAUAGCCAAAGGUGGAUCAAUCCCAAUGCACACACACCCUGCUGCCACUGAACUUCUAAUAAUGGUGGAAGGUCAAAUCACUGCUGGUUUUAUGACCCCAACUGCACUUUAUACCAAGACACUGAAACCUGGAGAUAUUAUGGUUUUUCCACAAGGACAGUUGCAUUUUCAGGUUAAUUCUGGAAACGGAAAAGCCACUGCUUUUCUGGCAUUCAGUAGUGCAAACCCUGGAGCACAACUACUUGACCUUCUGUUAUUUGGCAACACCUUGCCUUCUGACUUGGUUGCACAAACUACCUUCCUUGAUGUUGCACAAGUCAAGAAACUUAAGGCUCGUUUCGGUGGCAGAGGCUAGGAAUAUUAUUGCUCAUGAAUUUAUUCCUAUCUAAUGUUUGUUGCUAUUUAUAGUCCAUAAUAAUGCCUGUGUAUGCCCUUGCCUUUUCCAUU